RNAcentral lists this long non-coding RNA (1057 nucleotides) under Gouania willdenowi (blunt-snouted clingfish). RNAcentral's name for it is "lncRNA (ENSGWIG00000008585.1)". Lineage: Eukaryota; Metazoa; Chordata; Actinopteri; Blenniiformes; Gobiesocidae. The record is from RNAcentral.
UUACCCUUGUUCUUGGUUUUGCCUUUUUGUGUUUUUACCUUUGCCUCCCUGGACUGACCACCUGCGUGCCAAAUCCCUGCUUGCCUGACCAUGCCUAAACGAACAAUAAAUAUCGGUAUAAUGCACCUGAGCUCUGUCCCUGCAUUUGGGUCUGCACCUACACCUGUACGUGACAGAAUGACCCAGCCACCAGCAGACCCAGCGGGACCCUAGAUGCAGGAUUUUUCAUUUUGCAGCGAGUUAGAGGAGUUUCUUGCCGAGCUGGAGCCCCUGCUCUCCAGACUGAAGGAGACCAUCUUUCCCCAGGUGAUAUUGGACACUCCAAUGGGAGUUUGUGUGGCCAUUCGUCUCCGGCCUGCUCUGGAGAGAGUUCCCAUCGUGGUGAAGACAUUGGAGAACACAAAGAAGCAGAUAAGGAGGUUGCUAGGCUCUCCGUGUUCUCCACCUCCGGAGACGACCUCAGCCCCCAGAUCCUCCUCGUCACCAGAAUCCAUGCACCAUCAAAAGCUAAGUCCCUCCUCAGCACACAACUCUCAGUUGGAGUCCAGUAUGCAGCCUUUAUCCAGUCCCCAGUUACAGUCCAGUUCCCAGUCAGAGUCUCCUAGCUUUCAGACUAGUGUCCCUGAGUCUCCUAGCUUCCAGGUUAGCGUCCCGGAGUCUACUAGCUUCCAGGUUAGCGUCCCGAAGUCUACUAGCUUCCAGGUUAGCGUCCCGAAGUCUACUAGCUUCCAGGCUAACAUUUAUGUGUCUGCUAGCUUCCAGGCUAGCGUCCCUGAGUCCCCUAGCUUCAAGACUAGAUUUCCAGAGUCUUCCAGCUUCAAGACUAGAUUUCCAGAGUCCCCAAGCUGUCGGGCUAGAUUUCCAGAGUCCCCUAGCUGUCGGGCAAGAUUUCCCGAGUCGCCUAGCUGUCGGGCUAGAUUUCCCGAGUCCCCCCGCACCAGGCCACCUUUGCUUGGCCCGCCAGAGCCCUCUUUGUCUGGCCCAACGGAGGUGUCAACGCCUGAGCCCCCUUCGUCCACCCACCAGAUGUGACAUUAGAUGUAAAAGUGGUAGAAAG